This 300-nucleotide unclassified non-coding RNA is filed under the name uncultured fungus. RNAcentral's name for it is "sequence contains 5.8S rRNA gene, ITS2". The stretch from base 1 to 66 matches the Rfam family "5.8S ribosomal RNA", at positions 84 to 154 of the family's 154-position model. Lineage: Eukaryota; Fungi. The record is from RNAcentral.
GUGAGUCAUCGAAUCUUUGAACGCAACUUGCACUCUCUUUUAGAGAGUAUGCCUGUUUGAGAAUCUAUAAACUAUUCAAAACCCUGGUUUUGGAGUCUGAGCCCUCUCUGCGCAAGCCGAGUGGCUUUAAAGCAAUAAGGCUAAUGGUUGCAACUAUCUAGCGAAACAGUGUUGAAAUAGGUGAAUCAGUUGAUUGUCCUUUCUGCGCCCAGUAUUCUAUUUAGCCAAAGCCGGACUGCCUAUAACCCCCCCUUGAAACUAGGUCUCAAAUCAGGUAGGAAGACCCGCUGAACUUAAGCA